GAUGAACGCUGGCGGCGUGCCUAAUACAUGCAAGUCGAGCGAACAGACGAGGAGCUUGCUCCUCUCUCGUUAGCGGCGGACGGGUGAGUAACACGUGGAUAACCUACCUAUAAGACUGGGAUAACUUCGGGAAACCGGAGCUAAUACCGUAUAACAUGUUGAUCCGCAUGGUUCAACGGUGAAAGACGGUCUUGCUGGCACUUAUAGAUGGAUCCGCGCCGCAUUAGAUAGUUGUUAAGGUAACGGCUUACCAAGGCAACGAUGCGUAGCCGACCUGAGAGGGUGAUCGGCCACCCGGGAACUGAGCCACGGUCCAGACUACUACGGGAGGCAGCAGUCGGGAAUGUUACGCAAUGGGCGAAAGCAUGACACAACAACGCCGAGUGAGUGAAGAAGGUCUUCGGAUCGUAAAACUCUGUUAUUAGGGAAGAACAAAUGUGUAAGUAAAUAUGCACGUCUUGACGGUACCUAAUCAGAAAGCCACGGCUAACUACGUG
RNAcentral lists this ribosomal RNA (497 nucleotides) under uncultured bacterium. RNAcentral describes it as "partial 16S ribosomal RNA". It matches the Rfam family "Bacterial small subunit ribosomal RNA", at positions 28 to 507 of the family's 1533-position model. The record is from RNAcentral.